GAUGAACGCUGGCGGCGUGCCUAAUACAUGCAAGUCGAGCGAACAGACGAGGAGCUUGCUCCUCUGACGUUAGCGGCGGACGGGUGAGUAACACGUGGAUAACCUACCUAUAAGACUGGGAUAACUUCGGGAAACCGGAGCUAAUGCCGGAUAAUAUAUUGAACCGCAUGGUUCAAUAGUGAAAGACGGUUUUGCUGUCACUUAUAGAUGGAUCCGCGCCGCAUUAGCUAGUUGGUAAGGUAACGGCUUACCAAGGCAACGAUGCGUAGCCGACCUGAGAGGGUGAUCGGCCACACUGGAACUGAGACACGGUCCAGACUCCUACGGGAGGCAGCAGUAGGGAAUCUUCCGCAAUGGGCGAAAGCUUGGCGGAGCAACGCCGCGUGAGUGAUGAAGGUCUUCGGAUCGUAAAACUCUGUUAUUAGGGAAGAACAAAUGUGUAAGUAACUAUGCACGUCUUGACGGUACCUAAUCAGAAAGCCACGGCUAACUACGUG
This 497-nucleotide ribosomal RNA is filed under the name uncultured bacterium. Its description in RNAcentral is "partial 16S ribosomal RNA". It matches the Rfam family "Bacterial small subunit ribosomal RNA", at positions 28 to 507 of the family's 1533-position model. The record is from RNAcentral.